Molecule: ribosomal RNA, 750 nt
Filed under: uncultured bacterium
Lineage: Bacteria
Description: bacterial SSU rRNA
Rfam family: Bacterial small subunit ribosomal RNA
Source: RNAcentral
GAUGAACGCUGGCUGUGUGCCUAAUACAUGCAUGUCGAGCGAAGCACUUUUGUGCUUAGCGGCGAAUGGGUGAGUAACACGUACUUAACCUACCCUCAAGAUUGGGACAACACUUGGAAACGAGUGCUAAUACCAAAUACGUAUUUUUAUCGCAUGAUAGAUAUAUAAAAGGAGCUUCGGCUUCACUAGAGGAUGGGAGUGCGCUACAUUAGUUAGUUGGUAGGGUAAUGGCCUACCAAGACUAUGAUGUAUAGCGGGGCCGAGAGGCUGAUCCGCCACACUGGGACUGAGAUACGGCCCAGACUCCUACGGGAGGCAGCAGUAGAGAAUUUUCCACAAUGAACGAAAGUUUGAUGGAGCGACACAGCGUGCAGGAUGAAGGUCUUCGGAUUGUAAACUGCUGUUAUAAGAGAAGAAAAACCCUGGUAGGUAAUGACCAGGACUUGACGGUACCUUAUCAGAAAGCGACGGCUAACUAUGUGCCAGCAGCCGCGGUAAUACAUAGGUCGCAAGCGUUAUCCGGAAUUAUUGGGCGUAAAGAGUUCGUAGGUGGUUUUGUAAGUCUGAAGUUAAAUACCGGGGCUCAACCCCGGCCCGCUUUGGAUACUGCAAAACUAGAGUAAUAGAGAGGUUAGUGGAACUCCAAGUGAAGCGGUGGAAUGCGUAGAUAUUUGGAAGAACACCAAUGGCGAAAGCGACUAACUGGAUAUUAACUGACACUGAGGAACGAAAGCGUGGGUAGCAAACAGG